This 302-nucleotide ribosomal RNA is filed under the name uncultured bacterium. RNAcentral describes it as "partial 16S ribosomal RNA". It matches the Rfam family "Bacterial small subunit ribosomal RNA", at positions 508 to 807 of the family's 1533-position model. The record is from RNAcentral.
GCAGCAGCCGCGGGAAUACGUAGGUGGCAAGCGUUGUCCGGAAUUAUUGGGCGUAAAGGGCUCGCAGGCGGUUUCUUAAGUCUGAUGUGAAAGCCCCCGGCUCAACCGGGGAGGGUCAUUGGAAACUGGGAGACUUGAGUGCAGAAGAGGAGAGUGGAAUUCCACGUGUAGCGGUGAAAUGCGUAGAGAUGUGGAGGAACACCAGUGGCGAAGGCGACUCUCUGGUCUGUAACUGACGCUGAGGAGCGAAAGCGUGGGGGGCGAACAGGAUUAGAUACCCCUGUAGUCCCUGUCUCUUAUAC